GACGAACGCUGGCGGCGCGCCUAACACAUGCAAGUCGAACGGAGUCAAGAGGAGCUUGCUUUUCUUGACUUAGUGGCGAACGGGUGAGUAACGCGUGAGUAACCUGCCCUGGAGUGGGGGACAACAGUUGGAAACGACUGCUAAUACCGCAUAAGCCCACGGAUCCGCAUGGAUCUGCGGGAAAAGGAUUUAUUCGCUUCAGGAUGGACUCGCGUCCAAUUAGCUAGUUGGUGAGGUAACGGCCCACCAAGGCGACGAUUGGUAGCCGGACUGAGAGGUUGAACGGCCACAUUGGGAGUGAGACACAGCCCGGACUCCUACGGGAGGCAGCAGUGGGGGAUAUUGCACAAUGGCGGAAACCCUGAUGCAGCGACGCCGCGUGGAGGAAGAAGGUUUUCGGAUUGUAAACUCCUGUCGUUAGGGACGAUAAUGACGGUACCUAACAAGAAAGCACCGGCUAACUACGUG
Molecule: ribosomal RNA, 468 nt
Filed under: uncultured bacterium
Lineage: Bacteria
Description: partial 16S ribosomal RNA
Rfam family: Bacterial small subunit ribosomal RNA
Source: RNAcentral